UACGAAGGGUGCAAGCGUUACUCGGAAUUAUUGGGCGUAAAGCGCGCGCAGGCGGUCCUUUAAGUCUGAUGUGAAAGCCCUCGGCUCAACCGAGGAGGGUCAUUGGAAACUGGAGGACUUGAGUGCAGAAGAGGAAAGUGGAAUUCCAAGUGUAGCGGUGAAAUGCGUAGAGAUUUGGAGGAACACCAGUGGCGAAGGCGACUUUCUGGUCUGUAACUGACGCUGAGGCGCGAAAGCGUGGGGAGCAAACAGG
Molecule: ribosomal RNA, 253 nt
Filed under: uncultured bacterium
Lineage: Bacteria
Description: partial 16S ribosomal RNA
Rfam family: Bacterial small subunit ribosomal RNA
Source: RNAcentral